RNAcentral lists this ribosomal RNA (532 nucleotides) under uncultured Hanseniaspora. RNAcentral describes it as "eukaryotic LSU rRNA". It matches the Rfam family "Eukaryotic large subunit ribosomal RNA", at positions 62 to 602 of the family's 3401-position model. Lineage: Eukaryota; Fungi; Ascomycota; Saccharomycetes; Saccharomycodales; Saccharomycodaceae. The record is from RNAcentral.
AAACCAACUGGGAUUACCUUAGUAACGGCGAGUGAAGCGGUAAAAGCUCAAAUUUGAAAUCUGGUACUUUCAGUGCCCGAGUUGUAAUUUGUAGAAUUUGUCUUUGAUUAGGUCCUUGUCUAUGUUCCUUGGAACAGGACGUCAUAGAGGGUGAGAAUCCCGUUUGGCGAGGAUACCUUUUCUUUGUAAGACUUUUUCGAAGAGUCGAGUUGUUUGGGAAUGCAGCUCAAAGUGGGUGGUAAAUUCCAUCUAAAGCUAAAUAUUGGCGAGAGACCGAUAGCGAACAAGUACAGUGAUGGAAAGAUGAAAAGAACUUUGAAAAGAGAGUGAAAAAGUACGUGAAAUUGUUGAAAGGGAAGGGCAUUUGAUCAGACAUGGUGUUUUUGCAUGCACUCGCCUCUCGUGGGCUUGGGCCUCUCAAAAAAUUUCACUGGGCCAACAUCAAUUUUGGCAGCAGGAUAAAUCAUUAAGAAUGUAGCUACUUCGGUAGUGUUAUAGCUUUUUUGGAAUACUGUUAGCCGGGAUUGAGGUA